AGGGCGUACGGCGAAUGCCUUGCCACUCGAAACUGAAGAAGGACGCGCCAAACUGCGAAAAGCUCCGUGAAGCUGUAAGGAAGCGAAGAAGCGGAGGUGUCCGAAUGGGGGAACCCGGCAGCAGACAUGAGCUGUCAUCUGCAGGUGAAUACAUGGCCUGCAAGAGAGGUACCCGGCGAACUGAAACAUCUAAGUAGCCGGAGGAAAAGAAAACAACAGUGAUUCCCUGAGUAGCGGCGAGCGAAAGGGGAGAAGCCCAAACCGGUUGAAGGACCGGGGUUGAAGGACCAUGACAUGGCAAGAACGAGGAUAGGAGAACGGGAUCGAAAGCCCGGCCGAAGAAGGUGAAAGCCCUGUAACCGAAAUCCGAGUAAAGCCUAAUGGGAUCCUGAGUACGGCGAGACACGAGAAAUCUUGUCGGAAGCAGGCGGGACCAUCCGCCAAGGCUAAAUAUAAACGAGUGAGCGAUAGUGAACCAGUACCGUGAGGGAAAGGUGAAAAGAACCGCGGGAGCGGAGUGAAAGAGAACCUGAAACCGUAUGCCUACAAGAAGUCAGAGCCCGUUAAGGGGUGAUGGCGUGCCUUUUGUAGAAUGAACCGGCGAGUUGCGACAGACUGCGAGGUUAAGGAGGAAAGACCGGAGCCGAAGCGAAAGCGAGUCUUAAGAGGGCGAAAGUAGGAUGUUGCAGACCCGAAACCGGGUGAUCUAGCCAUGAGCAGGUUGAAGUUGAGGUGAAACUCAAUGGAGGACCGAACCGACUACCGUUGAAAAGUUAGCGGAUGACUUGUGGCUAGGGGAGAAAUUCCAAUCGAACCCGGAGAUAGCUGGUUCUCCCCGAAAUAGCUUUAGGGCUAGCGUCGGAAAGAACCUUAGUGAAGGUAGAGCACUGAAUGUGUGAUGGCCCCAUCCCGGGGUACUGAAUACAAUCAAACUGCGAAUGUCAUUAAGGAUGUCCGGCAGUCAGACUGUGAGUGAUAAGGUCCAUGGUCAAGAGGGAAACAGCCCAGACCGCCAGUUAAGGUCCCAAAAUACAGGCUAAGUGGAAAAGGAUGUGGGGAUGCCCAGACAACUAGGAGGUUGGCUCAGAAGCAGCCAUCCUUUAAAGAGUGCGUAACAGCUCACUAGUCGAGUGACCCUGCGCCGAAAAUGUACCGGGGCUAAGCCUGAUACCGAAACUGCGGAUUGUAGGAAACUAUAGUGGUAGGGGAGCGUUGUAUACGAGCAGAAGCCGUACCGUGAGGAGCGGUGGAUUGUAUAGAAGUGAGAAUGCCGGUGUGAGUAGCGAGAUGUAGGUGAGAAUCCUACACACCGAAAGCCCAAGGAUUCCAGGGGAAGGUUCGUCCGCCCUGGGUAAGUCGGGACCUAACGCGAGGCCGAAAGGCGUAGUGGAUGGAAAGCAGGCGAAAGAUUCCUGCACCCGUAUAUGGAGCGAAGGAGUGACGGAGACGGAUAGUGUGACCCUCUUAAUGGAUUGAGGGCGAAGCGAAGCGGCUGGUUACCAGGCAAAUCCGGUAACCAAAAGGCUAGAGCGUGACAGGUAAGCGAAAUCUUCGGAAAGUAGCGAAGCACAUGAUGACGGCUUCCAGGAAAAGCUUCUGGCAAUGCAUAUGCGGCCCGUACCAAAACCGACACAGGUGGGCAGGGAGAGAAUCCCGAGGUGAGCGAGAGAACUGUUGCCAAGGAACUCGGCAAAAUGACUCCGUAAGUUAGCGAGAAGGAGUGCUUAAGCAAUUAAGCCGCAGUGAAGAGGCCCAAGCGACUGUUUAACUAAAACACAGCUCUCUGCGAAGUCGCAAGACGAAGUAUAGGGGGUGACACCUGCCCGGUGCUGGAAGGUUAAGAGGAUCUGUUAAGAGCGAUCUGAAGCAGUGAUCCGAAGCCCCAGUGAACGGCGGCCGUAACUAUAACGGUCCUAAGGUAGCGAAAUUCCUUGUCAGGUAAGUUCUGACCCGCACGAAAGGUGUAACGAUUUGGGCGCUGUCUCGGCAGCAGACUCGGUGAAAUCUUAGUACCUGUGAAAAUGCAGGUUACCCGCAACUAGACGGAAAGACCCCAUGGAGCUUUACUGCAGCCUGAUAUUGAAUUCUGGUCAUACAUGUACAGGAUAGGUGGGAGACAAAGAGACGUGCACGCCAGUGUACGAGGAGUCGCCGUUGGGAUACCACUCUUGUGUGACCGGGGUUCUAACCUGGUAUCGAGAACAGGUACGGGGAGAGUGUCAGGUGGGCAGUUUGACUGGGGCGGUCGCCUCCCAAAGAGUAACGGAGGCGCCCAAAGGUUCCCUCAGCGCGGCCGGAAAUCGCGCGAAGAGUGUAAAGGCAGAAGGGAGCUUGACUGAGAGCCAAACACGGCGAUCAGGUACGAAAGUAGGGCUUAGUGAUCCGGUGGCAUCCAAGUGGAAGGGCCAUCGCUCAACGGAUAAAAGCUACCCUGGGGAUAACAGGCUAAUCUCUCCCAAGAGUCCAUAUCGACGGGGAGGUUUGGCACCUCGAUGUCGGCUCAUCACAUCCUGGGGCUGAAGUCGGUCCCAAGGGUUGGGCUGUUCGCCCAUUAAAGUGGUACGUGAGCUGGGUUCAGAACGUCGUGAGACAGUUCGGUCCCUAUCCAUCGCGGGCGCAAGAGAUUUGAAGGGGGCUGCUCCUAGUACGAGAGGACCGGAGUGGACGAACCAAUGGUGUACCAAUUAUCUCGCCAGAGGUAUAGUUGGGUAGCUACGUUCGGAAAGGAUAAACGCUGAAAGCAUCUAAGCGUGAAACCAGCCUUAAGAUGAGAUCUCUCAUAGAGUAAUCUAGUAAGACACCUUGG
RNAcentral lists this ribosomal RNA (2806 nucleotides) under human gut metagenome. RNAcentral's name for it is "bacterial LSU rRNA". It matches the Rfam family "Bacterial large subunit ribosomal RNA". The record is from RNAcentral.